AGAGCGAACGCUGGCGGCAGGCCUAACACAUGCAAGUCGAGCGCCCGUAGCAAUACGGGAGCGGCAGACGGGAUAGUAACACGUGGGAACGCGCCCUUCGGUUCGGAAUAACUCAGGGAAACUUGAGCUAAUACCGGAUACGCCCUUACGGGGAAAGAUUUAUUGCCGAAGGAACGGCCCGCGUCCGAUUAGCUAGUUGGUGAGGUAAUGGCUCACCAAGGCUCCGAUCGGUAGCUGGUCUGAGAGGAUGACCAGCAUCACUGGGACUGAGACACGGCCCAGACUCCUACGGGAGGCAGCAGUGGGGAAUAUUGGACAAUGGGCGCAAGCCUGAUCCAGCCAUGCCGCGUGGAUGAUGAAGGCCUUAGGGUUGUAAAGUCCUUUUAACGGGGAAGAUAAUGACGGUACCCGUAGAAUAAGCCCCGGCUAACUUCGUGCCAGCAGCCGC
Molecule: ribosomal RNA, 448 nt
Filed under: uncultured bacterium
Lineage: Bacteria
Description: SSU rRNA
Rfam family: Bacterial small subunit ribosomal RNA
Source: RNAcentral